Molecule: ribosomal RNA, 492 nt
Filed under: uncultured bacterium
Lineage: Bacteria
Description: partial 16S ribosomal RNA
Rfam family: Bacterial small subunit ribosomal RNA
Source: RNAcentral
AGUGAACGCUGGCGGUAGGCCUAACACAUGCAAGUCGAACGGCAGCACAGUAAGAGCUUGCUCUUACGGGUGGCGAGUGGCGGACGGGUGAGGAAUACAUCGGAAUCUACUUUUUCGUGGGGGAUAACGUAGGGAAACUUACGCUAAUACCGCAUACGACCUACGGGUGAAAGCAGGGGAUCUUCGGACCUUGCGCGAUUGAAUGAGCCGAUGUCGGAUUAGCUAGUUGGCGGGGUAAAGGCCCACCAAGGCGACGAUCCGUAGCUGGUCUGAGAGGAUGAUCAGCCACACUAGAACUGAGACACGGUCCAGACUACUACGGGAGGCAGCAGUGGGGAAUAUUGGACAAUGGGCGCAAGCCUGAUCCAGCCAUACCGCGUGGGUGAAGAAGGCCUUUGGGUUGUAAAGCCCUUUUGUUGGGAAAGAAAAGCAGCAGGUUAAUACCCCGCUGUUCUGACGGUACCCAAAGAAUAAGCACCGGCUAACUUCGUG